AAAAAGAUUGAGGCCAUGGUAGC
Molecule: microRNA, 23 nt
Filed under: Macaca fascicularis (crab-eating macaque)
Lineage: Eukaryota; Metazoa; Chordata; Mammalia; Primates; Cercopithecidae
Description: novel_miR49-5p
Source: RNAcentral